RNAcentral lists this transfer RNA (83 nucleotides) under Podarcis lilfordi (Lilford's wall lizard). RNAcentral's name for it is "tRNA.Ile". Lineage: Eukaryota; Metazoa; Chordata; Lepidosauria; Squamata; Lacertidae. The record is from RNAcentral.
GCCUUUGGCACCACAAUAGCUCAGUUGGUUAGAGUGUGGUGCUGAUGAUGUCAAGGUUGCAGGUUCAGUCCCCAUAUGGGACA